This 253-nucleotide ribosomal RNA is filed under the name uncultured bacterium. RNAcentral describes it as "partial 16S ribosomal RNA". It matches the Rfam family "Bacterial small subunit ribosomal RNA", at positions 524 to 776 of the family's 1533-position model. The record is from RNAcentral.
UACGUAGGGUGCGAGCGUUAAUCGGAAUUACUGGGCGUAAAGCGUGCGCAGGCGGUGAUGUAAGGCAGGUGGGAAAUCCCCGGGCUCAACCUGGGAACUGCAUCUGUGACUGCAUUGCUGGAGUGCGGCAGAGGGGGAUGGAAUUCCGCGUGUAGCAGUGAAAUGCGUAGAUAUGCGGAGGAACACCGAUGGCAAAGGCAAUCCCCUGGGCCUGCACUGACGCUCAUGCACGAAAGCGUGGGGAGCAAACAGG